GGCCUUGUAGCUCAGUAGUAGAGCAGUACCCUGAAAAGGUAUGUGUCGUUUGUGCGAUUCAAACCAAGGCCACCACACC
This 79-nucleotide transfer RNA is filed under the name uncultured SAR11 cluster alpha proteobacterium H17925_23J24. Its description in RNAcentral is "tRNA-Phe". It matches the Rfam family "tRNA". From Rfam's summary of the family: Transfer RNA (tRNA) molecules are approximately 80 nucleotides in length. Their secondary structure includes four short double-helical elements and three loops (D, anti-codon, and T loops). The record is from RNAcentral. Lineage: Bacteria; Pseudomonadati; Pseudomonadota; Alphaproteobacteria; Candidatus Pelagibacterales.